Gadus morhua (Atlantic cod) is the source of this 381-nucleotide long non-coding RNA. NCBI's taxonomy places the organism in Eukaryota, Metazoa, Chordata, Actinopteri, Gadiformes, Gadidae. The record is from Ensembl.
AACCGAUGGAGGCCCUGCCUGGUGGAGGAACCAAUGGAGGCCCUGCCUGGUUGAGGAUUUCUGUCGUUGGGUAGAUGGAGCCCGACUCUGAAACCAGGACUCUGGCUGAGGAGUGCUGAUGGAGGAGCCAAGACUCUGGAGGACGACAUCACUCUACCAACAAGGAUCCUCGUCAGUUUGCAUAAAAGCCAAACUACGUUUGUAACCGGACCAGGAAUCUGGAGGACUGACGGAGAAGCCAUACAUCUGGAAGGCAAAUCCUGAGGACGACCAGGACUCUACCAUCAAGGAUUCCUCUUGUAGCGUGCUGCGGGUGCUGGACUGGAUGCCUGGACUCUCCUCAUGGAUAACCGCCAGAACCCCAUCACCAUUUUAAUGAUG